GAUGAACGCUGGCGGCGUGCCUAAUACAUGCAAGUCGAGCGAACAGACGAGUCGCUUGCUCGUCUGACGUUAGCGGCGGACGGGUGAGUAACACGUGUAUAACCUACCUAUAAGACUGGGAUAACUUCCUGAAACCGGAGCUAAUACCGGCAAAUAUAUGGAACCGCAUGGAUCAAUAGUGUAAGGCGUCUUUGCUGUCACUUAUCGAUGGAUCCGCGGCGCAUUAGCUAGUUGGUAAGCUAACGGCUUACCCAGGCACUGAUGCGUAGCCGAGCUGAGAGGGAGAACCGACACUGUGAAACUGAGACACGCUACAGACUCCUGCGGGAGGCAGGUGGAGGGAAUCGUCCGAAAUGGGCGAAAGCGUGGCGGAGCAACGGCGCGUGAGAGAUGAAGGUCCGCGGAGCGAAAAACUCUGUUAGGAGAGAAAAACAAAUGUGUAAGUAACUAUGCACGUUUAGAUGGUACGCAAUAAAAAAGCCACGGAAAACUACG
RNAcentral lists this ribosomal RNA (495 nucleotides) under uncultured bacterium. RNAcentral's name for it is "partial 16S ribosomal RNA". It matches the Rfam family "Bacterial small subunit ribosomal RNA", at positions 28 to 505 of the family's 1533-position model. The record is from RNAcentral.